AGUCACUGACAUUAGAUACCCGUGUAGUCCCAGCCGUAAACUAUGCGCGUUAGGUGUACCGGUGACCACGAGUCACCGGGGUGCCGAAGGGAAACCGUGAAACGUGCCGCCUGGGAAGUACGGUCGCAAGGCUGAAACUUAAAGGAAUUGGCGGGGGAGCACCGCAACGGGAGGAGCGUGCGGUUUAAUUGGAUUCAACACCGUAAACUCACCAGGGAAGACUGUUACAUGAAGGCCGAGAUGAAGACUCUGCUAGAUUUUCAG
RNAcentral lists this ribosomal RNA (264 nucleotides) under uncultured archaeon. RNAcentral's name for it is "partial 16S ribosomal RNA". It matches the Rfam family "Archaeal small subunit ribosomal RNA", at positions 717 to 982 of the family's 1478-position model. The record is from RNAcentral.